UAAUUUUUAUUUUGGUGAGAUAACAUUUCUUGAUAUUUAUUUGGAGUUUAUUUUGUGAACCGAUUUUCUACCCUUUUAAUAAUAUUUCCUUGGCUUUUGGUAAUUUAGUCACUUUUGAUCAUACUUGUGAACUUUCCUUGACUUUAGACAUUCUAAGUGUAUAUAUGUAGGUUUAGUUUAUUUAUUAUUAUUUAAUCUUAUCAUUAUUAUUGGUGAAUUAACCUCAUUUUUAUAGAAUCACUGACGCUUGCUACACAGGUACGCUCUCUAUCUUCCCAUUCUAAGUGUAUAUAUAUAGGUUUAGUUUUAUUUAUUUAUUAUUAUUUAAUCUUAUCAUUAUUAUUGGUGAAUUAACCUCAUUUUUAUAGAAUCACUAGUGCUUGCUACACAGGUACGCUCUCUAUCUUCCCAUUUUAAAGUUCCAUGAAUAUGUUUGUCAUUAAGAACUCACUACUACAAAAAAUUAAAUUAAUAACGCUUUAUUUCUUGAAGCUUGUAAAAAAUAUCAUUAUUUAUCUCUAAAAUUAAUAGUUAUUGAUGCUCACACAUUCUUGGUGCUUUACAAGGAGAAGCAAUGGCAUUUUUAAAUAAUGGCUCUUUUGUAUGGAUGUUGUAUUGAAGAAGACAAAUGGAUUAUGGUUUAUGAAUGUAUAAAAAAUAAGAGCCUUGAUCAAGCUCUUUUUGGUGAGAAUGCUUAAAAUAUUUUGCAUCUUGCACUUUAUGUUUUUAUUUUUU
RNAcentral lists this long non-coding RNA (735 nucleotides) under Vitis vinifera (wine grape). RNAcentral describes it as "long non-coding RNA (VVIN_LNC007014)". The record is from RNAcentral. Lineage: Eukaryota; Viridiplantae; Streptophyta; Magnoliopsida; Vitales; Vitaceae.